Non-coding RNA from Triticum urartu, 234 nucleotides. Lineage: Eukaryota; Viridiplantae; Streptophyta; Magnoliopsida; Poales; Poaceae. The record is from RefSeq and is a predicted model, not a curated record.
AAAACAACUAGGAGCUCUCGAAUGAAGAUUACAUUAGUCAGUUCAUUUCCGAAUGUCAUAAUGCGUACGACUAUUACGGUGAAUCCGACGCGGAGACAGGCCUUAACGACGAAUCAUUAGAUGCACCUGGUUCUGGGGAGUCCGAGUCGUCGGUCAUCAUGAGUGAGGUGACACAAGAUGAUGGGGCAAAGAAUGUCCAAGAUACUGUCAGUGCAGAUGAUAAGAGGGAUAUGU